This is a long non-coding RNA of Corvus hawaiiensis (hawaiian crow), 349 nucleotides long. RefSeq lists it as uncharacterized. Lineage: Eukaryota; Metazoa; Chordata; Aves; Passeriformes; Corvidae. The record is from RefSeq and is a predicted model, not a curated record. The transcript is spliced from 3 exons.
UUUCCUCAGGAAUCUUCAGCACCAGACAGAAAACAACAACAAAUAAGCAAGGCUGAAGCUACUUCCAAGAUGAAGAGUAUCAGACCCUGUAUUGGAUUGGCAACUGGUCUUUUCCUUGGAGUCGUAGCAGAUGACAAAUCUAGAUGAUGAAAAGAAUGAAGUUGUGUCAGCAAGAGAGUCGCUCUGCAGUUCCUUUCCUAGUGCCACAGUAUUCCCAUCCUUUUUCUCCAGGUUCAAGAACCUCUCACGUGUCAUUCCAUCUGUUCCCUUUUACUGAUGGAAAAGACAUGUUUAGCGCAGCGAGUCCCUCAUACUGCCAUCAAAAUUUUGCAAUAGAGAGCAUGACUUC